RNAcentral lists this ribosomal RNA (1354 nucleotides) under metagenome. Its description in RNAcentral is "bacterial LSU rRNA". It matches the Rfam family "Bacterial large subunit ribosomal RNA", at positions 1578 to 2925 of the family's 2925-position model. The record is from RNAcentral.
GGUAUGGACGAAGUGGGUGAUCCUAUGCUGUCGAGAAAAACCUCUAGCGAGCUAUGCGCCGCCCGUACCCCAAACCGACUCAGGUGAUCAGGUAGAGAAUACCAAGGCGAUCGAGUGAACCAUGGUUAAGGAACUCGGCAAAAUGCCCCCGUAACUUCGGGAGAAGGGGGGCCGGAUCCGUCAAUGCCCUAGCGGCAGGAAGCGGUGAUGGCCGCAGAGACCAGGCCCAAGCGACUGUUUACUAAAAACACAGGUCCGUGCGAAGUUGUAAGACGAUGUAUACGGACUGACUCCUGCCCGGUGCUGGAAGGUUAAGGGGACGGGUUAGCUUCUGGCGAAGCCCAGAACUUAAGCCCCAGUAAACGGCGGUGGUAACUAUAACCAUCCUAAGGUAGCGAAAUUCCUUGUCGGGUAAGUUCCGACCUGCACGAAUGGAGUAACGACUUGGGCGCUGUCUCAACCGUGGACUCGGCGAAAUUGCACUACGAGUAAAGAUGCUCGUUACGCGCGGCAGGACGGAAAGACCCCGGGACCUUUACUAUAGUUUGGUAUUGGUGUUUGGUUCGGCUUGUGUAGGAUAGGUGGGAGACUUUGAAGCUUGGACGCCAGUUCAGGUGGAGUCAACGUUGAAAUACCACUCUGGUCGUACUAGAUGUCUAACCUAGGUCCGUAAUCCGGAUCAGGGACAGUGCCUGAUGGGUAGUUUAACUGGGGCGGUUGCCUCCUAAAAUGUAAGGGAGGCGCUCAAAGGUUCCCUCAGCCUGGUUGGCAAUCAGGUGACGAGUGUAAGUGCACAAGGGAGCUUGACUGUGAGACAGACAUGUCGAGCAGGGACGAAAGUCGGAACUAGUGAUCUGGCCACGGCAUGUGGAAGCGUGGUCACUCAACGGAUAAAAGGUACCCCGGGGAUAACAGGCUGAUCUUCCCCAAGAGUCCAUAUCGACGGGAUGGUUUGGCACCUCGAUGUCGGCUCGUCGCAUCCUGGGGCUGGAGUAGGUCCCAAGGGUUGGGCUGUUCGCCCAUUAAAGCGGCACGCGAGCUGGGUUUAGAACGUCGUGAGACAGUUCGGUCCCUAUCCGCCGCGCGCGCAGGAAACUUGAGAAAGGCUGUCCCUAGUACGAGAGGACCGGGAUGGACGAACCUCUGGUGUGCCAGUUGUUCUGCCAAGAGCACGGCUGGUUGGCUACGUUCGGAAGUGAUAACCGCUGAAUGCAUCUAAGCGGGAAGCACGUUUCAAGAUGAGGUUUCCCACUACAUAAGUAGGUAAGGUCCCCAGCAGAACACUGGGUUGAUAGGCCAGAGGUGUACAGCAGUAAUGCUCAGCCGACUGGUACUAAUAGACCGAGGGCUUGCC